Molecule: ribosomal RNA, 947 nt
Filed under: Lepiota sindhudeltana
Lineage: Eukaryota; Fungi; Basidiomycota; Agaricomycetes; Agaricales; Agaricaceae
Description: partial large subunit ribosomal RNA
Source: RNAcentral
UUAAGCAUAUCAAUAAGCGGAGGAMRARRAACUAACAAGGAUUCCCCUAGUAACUGCGAGUGAAGCGGGAAAAGCUCAAAUUUAAAAUCUGGCAGUCUWUGGCUGUCCGAGUUGUAAUCUAGAGAAGUGUUGCCUGCGCUGGACUGUGUACAAGUCUUCUGGAAUGGAGCAUCAUAGAGGGUGAGAAUCCCGUCUCUGACACAGACUACCAGGGCUUUGUGGUAUGCUCUCAAAGAGUCGAGUUGUUUGGGAAUGCAGCUCAAAACGGGUGGUAAAUUCCAUCUAAAGCUAAAUAUUGGCGAGAGACCGAUAGCGAACAAGUACCGUGAGGGAAAGAUGAAAAGAACUUUGGAAAGAGAGUUAAACAGUACGUGAAAUUGCUGAAAGGGAAACGCUUGAAGUCAGUCGUGUCGGCCAGGGAUCAGCCUUGCAUUGCAUGGUGCACUUCCUGGUUGACGGGUCAGCAUCAAUUUUGACCAUUGGAAAAAGGCUUUGGGAAUGUGGCAGCUCCUGGCUGUGUUAUAGCCCAUUGUCAUAUACAAUGGUUGGGAUUGAGGAACUCAGCAUGCCAUGAGGCCGGGUUUCGACCACGUUCAUGCUUAGGAUGCUGGCAUAAUGGCUUUAAGCGACCCGUCUUGAAACACGGACCAAGGAGUCUAACAUGCCUGCAAGUAUUUGGGUGCAAAACCCGAGUGCGUAAUGAAAGUGAAAGUUGAGAUCCCUGUCGUGGGGAGCAUCGACGCCCGGACCAGAACUUUUGGGACGGAUCCGCGGUAGAGCAUGUAUGUUGGGACCCGAAAGAUGGUGAACUAUGCCUGAAUAGGGUGAAGCCAGAGGAAACUCUGGUGGAGGCUCGUAGCGAUUCUGACGUGCAAAUCGAUCGUCAAAUUUGGGUAUAGGGGCGAAAGACUAAUCGAACCAUSYWKUAGCUGGUUCCUGCAGAUCAU